GGGCGUGUAGCCAAGCGGUCUAAGGCGUGGGCCUGCAAAGCCUAUAUUCGCGGGUUCGAAUCCCGCCGCGCCCU
Molecule: transfer RNA, 74 nt
Filed under: bacterium
Lineage: Bacteria
Description: tRNA-Cys
Rfam family: tRNA
About the family: Transfer RNA (tRNA) molecules are approximately 80 nucleotides in length. Their secondary structure includes four short double-helical elements and three loops (D, anti-codon, and T loops).
Source: RNAcentral